AGUGAACGCUGGCGGUAGGCCUAACACAUGCAAGUCGAACGGCAGCACAGUAAGAGCUUGCUCUUACGGGUGGCGAGUGGCGGACGGGUGAGGAAUACAUCGGAAUCUACUUUUUCGUGGGGGAUAACGUAGGGAAACUUACGCUAAUACCGCAUACGACCUACGGGUGAAAGCAGGGGAUCUUCGGACCUUGCGCGAUUGAAUGAGCCGAUGUCGGAUUAGCUAGUUGGCGGGGUAAAGGCCCACCAAGGCGACGAUCCGUAGCUGGUCUGAGAGGAUGGUAGGCCACACUGGAGCUGGGACAGGGUCCAGGCUCCUACGGUAGGCAGCAGUGUGGAAUAGUGGACAAUGGUCGCAAGCCUGAUCCAGCCGUACCGCGUGGGUGAAGAAGGCCUUCGGGUUGUAAAGCCCUUUUGUUGGGAAAGAAAAGCAGCAGGUUAAUACCCCGCUGUUCUGACGGUACCCAAAGAAUAAGCACCGGCUAACUUCGUG
RNAcentral lists this ribosomal RNA (492 nucleotides) under uncultured bacterium. Its description in RNAcentral is "partial 16S ribosomal RNA". It matches the Rfam family "Bacterial small subunit ribosomal RNA", at positions 29 to 507 of the family's 1533-position model. The record is from RNAcentral.